GCCUGGCGCAAUGGCACACGCCUGUAAUCCCAGCAGCUCAGGAGGCUGAGAUAGGAGGAUUGCGAGUUCAAAGUUAGCCUCAGCAAUGGUGAGGCUGUUAAACAACUUGGUGAGACCCUGUCUCUA
RNAcentral lists this small RNA (126 nucleotides) under Marmota monax (woodchuck). Lineage: Eukaryota; Metazoa; Chordata; Mammalia; Rodentia; Sciuridae. The record is from RNAcentral.